RNAcentral lists this ribosomal RNA (454 nucleotides) under uncultured bacterium. RNAcentral's name for it is "bacterial SSU rRNA". It matches the Rfam family "Bacterial small subunit ribosomal RNA", at positions 340 to 786 of the family's 1533-position model. The record is from RNAcentral.
UACGGGAGGCAGCAGUGGGGAAUAUUGCACAAUGGGCGCAAGCCUGAUGCAGUCAUGCCGCGUGUAUGAAGAAGGCCUUCGGGUUGUAAAGUACUUUCAGUCGUGAGGAAGGUGUUAAGGUUAAUAACCUUAGCAAUUGACGUUAGCGACAGAAGAAGCACCGGCUAACUCCGUGCCAGCAGCCGCGGUAAUACGGAGGGUGCGAGCGUUAAUCGGAAUUACUGGGCGUAAAGGGCACGCAGGCGGUUAAUUAAGUUGGAUGUGAAAUCCCCGGGCUUAACCUGGGAAUGGCAUUCAAGACUGGUUAGCUAGAGUCUUGUAGAGGGGGUAGAAUUCCAUGUGUAGCGGUGAAAUGCGUAGAGAUGUGGAGGAAUACCGGUGGCGAAGGCGGCCCCUGGGACAAAGACUGACGCUCAUGUGCGAAAGCGUGGGGAGCAAACAGGGAUUAGAUACC